GUCUCAAGAAUACGGGUCAAAGGGUUUGAAGCUGACAUUGUAUCUGCAGAGAGUAAAGAUUCUAGUUAAACUUUUGUACUUGAUCCUAAUCUGUUCUAAGGUCUUUUAGAACAAAUGUAACUCCCACUAUUUUCUCGAAUCCCUCACACUCCCCUGGUAGGGAAACGAAAAUCCCACACGACUAGGGUUUCUAGUGGGUACUGCGGUCCCACCAAUUUACAUGCCAC
Molecule: long non-coding RNA, 227 nt
Filed under: Phoenix dactylifera (date palm)
Lineage: Eukaryota; Viridiplantae; Streptophyta; Magnoliopsida; Arecales; Arecaceae
Description: long non-coding RNA (PDAC_LNC021862)
Source: RNAcentral